RNAcentral lists this ribosomal RNA (463 nucleotides) under Vreelandella stevensii. Its description in RNAcentral is "partial 16S ribosomal RNA". It matches the Rfam family "Bacterial small subunit ribosomal RNA", at positions 338 to 795 of the family's 1533-position model. The record is from RNAcentral. Lineage: Bacteria; Pseudomonadati; Pseudomonadota; Gammaproteobacteria; Oceanospirillales; Halomonadaceae.
UCUACGGGGCUGCAGUGGGGAAUAUUGGACAAUGGGGGCAACCCUGAUCCAGCCAUGCCGCGUGUGUGAAGAAGGCCCUCGGGUUGUAAAGCACUUUCAGUGAGGAAGAACGCCUGGUGGUUAAUACCCAUCAGGAAAGACAUCACUCACAGAAGAAGCACCGGCUAACUCCGUGCCAGCAGCCGCGGUAAUACGGAGGGUGCGAGCGUUAAUCGGAAUUACUGGGCGUAAAGCGCGCGUAGGUGGCUUGAUAAGCCGGUUGUGAAAGCCCCGGGCUCAACCUGGGAACGGCAUCCGGAACUGUCAAGCUAGAGUGCAGGAGAGGAAGGUAGAAUUCCCGGUGUAGCGGUGAAAUGCGUAGAGAUCGGGAGGAAUACCAGUGGCGAAGGCGGCCUUCUGGACUGACACUGACACUGAGGUGCGAAAGCGUGGGUAGCAAACAGGAUUAGAUACCCCGGUAGUC